This 1009-nucleotide ribosomal RNA is filed under the name uncultured Bifidobacterium sp. RNAcentral's name for it is "bacterial SSU rRNA". It matches the Rfam family "Bacterial small subunit ribosomal RNA", at positions 504 to 1507 of the family's 1533-position model. Lineage: Bacteria; Bacillati; Actinomycetota; Actinomycetes; Bifidobacteriales; Bifidobacteriaceae. The record is from RNAcentral.
UGUCCCAGCCGCCGCGGUAAUACGUAGGGUGCAAGCGUUAUCCGGAAUUAUUGGGCGUAAAGGGCUCGUAGGCGGUUCGUCGCGUCCGGUGUGAAAGUCCAUCGCUUAACGGUGGAUUCGCGCCGGGUACGGGCGGGCUUGAGUGCGGUAGGGGAGACUGGAAUUCCCGGUGUAACGGUGGAAUGUGUAGAUAUCGGGAAGAACACCAAUGGCGAAGGCAGGUCUCUGGGCCGUUACUGACGCUGAGGAGCGAAAGCGUGGGGAGCGAACAGGAUUAGAUACCCUGGUAGUCCACGCCGUAAACGGUGGAUGCUGGAUGUGGGGCCCGUUCCACGGGUUCCGUGUCGGAGCUAACGCGUUAAGCAUCCCGCCUGGGGAGUACGGCCGCAAGGCUAAAACUCAAAGAAAUUGACGGGGGCCCGCACAAGCGGCGGAGCAUGCGGAUUAAUUCGAUGCAACGCGAAGAACCUUACCUGGGCUUGACAUGUUCCCGACGAUCCCAGAGAUGGGGUUUCCCUUCGGGGCGGGUUCACAGGUGGUGCAUGGUCGUCGUCAGCUCGUGUCGUGAGAUGUUGGGUUAAGUCCCGCAACGAGCGCAACCCUCGCCCCGUGUUGCCAGCGGAUUGUGCCGGGAACUCACGGGGGACCGCCGGGGUUAACUCGGAGGAAGGUGGGGAUGACGUCAGAUCAUCAUGCCCCUUACGUCCAGGGCUUCACGCAUGCUACAAUGGCCGGUACAACGGGAUGCGACGCGGCGACGCGGAGCGGAUCCCUGAAAACCGGUCUCAGUUCGGAUCGCAGUCUGCAACUCGACUGCGUGAAGGCGGAGUCGCUAGUAAUCGCGAAUCAGCAACGUCGCGGUGAAUGCGUUCCCGGGCCUUGUACACACCGCCCGUCAAGUCAUGAAAGUGGGCAGCACCCGAAGCCGGUGGCCUAACCCCUUGUGGGAUGGAGCCGUCUAAGGUGAGGCUCGUGAUUGGGACUAAGUCGUAACAAGGUAACCAAUCGA